GACAUCUGGAGAGAGGCGUUUCGCACGCACACCGAAGGGGACUUUCCUGCGGCCCACAGGCGCAGGCGAGAAAAACUCUCAGGUACAUGGACAGAUGGGGCACU
Molecule: non-coding RNA, 104 nt
Filed under: Paraburkholderia piptadeniae
Lineage: Bacteria; Pseudomonadati; Pseudomonadota; Betaproteobacteria; Burkholderiales; Burkholderiaceae
Description: Glycine
Rfam family: Glycine riboswitch aptamer
About the family: This family represents the bacterial glycine riboswitch. Glycine riboswitches usually consist of two metabolite-binding aptamers domains with similar structures in tandem. The aptamers cooperatively bind glycine to regulate the expression of downstream genes.
Source: RNAcentral